CUGCAUACUGUCAAAAUGUGACCUUUCUUUUAGCCACUGAAAUAUCUGGUUGCCCUAAGCAAUGAAGAUCAGCCCGUUGGGAAAUUGGACCAGAAACCAUGUUGCCGUGGAAACCACUGUGAACUGCAGAUACAUUGGUGACCACUUUCU
Pristis pectinata (smalltooth sawfish) is the source of this 150-nucleotide long non-coding RNA. RefSeq lists it as uncharacterized. The transcript is spliced from 3 exons. The record is from RefSeq and is a predicted model, not a curated record. NCBI's taxonomy places the organism in Eukaryota, Metazoa, Chordata, Chondrichthyes, Rhinopristiformes, Pristidae.